AGCCUCUCACCAUCCUCUUACUUGAGAGGAUCCUCAAGUAAGGUACAGAGCUCGUGGUAGUCUCACUGUGUCCUCAGCAGUGCUGAGUAUUGGCAAUAAUAAUUUCUCUUAAUCUGCUGGACCCACUUCUCCUACGGAACGCUAGCACGCUCUUGUUCAGGUAACAAAAUCAAAAUGGCUUCCGUCCCACUGUACUUGUUCCUGUUUGGUUUUAGUCACAAGAGAGUACAGGUUAUUCUCGCAUCGCAGAGUUUUUUGAGAUCCCUCUUACAUCUCAGCAAGCAUUAUUCAUGAGACUACAAAGCUCUUGUCUGCCAUGUGCAUUCAUUCAUGUUCAAAGCUUGCAAAGGAAUGCUACUUGGUUUCAUGUUCAAGGAAAUACUGCCAUAGGAUCAUUUGCUUUUUGUACUGACAAAGAGACAAAAUGUACCCUGUGACAUUAGGUCAGUUCAGUCAUUGGGGCCCUUGA
Molecule: long non-coding RNA, 469 nt
Filed under: Anser brachyrhynchus (Pink-footed goose)
Lineage: Eukaryota; Metazoa; Chordata; Aves; Anseriformes; Anatidae
Description: lncRNA (ENSABRG00000009759.1)
Source: RNAcentral